AGAGUUUGAUCCUGGCUCAGAACGAACGCUGGCGGCGUGCCUAACACAUGCAAGUCGAACGAGAUAGGGGGGGCAACCCCCCGAGUACAGUGGCGCACGGGUGAGUAAUACGUAGGUAACCAACCCCUGGAACCGGGAUAACCCGAGGAAACCCGGGCUAAUACCGGAUAAGACUUCAGGAGCUACGGCUCUUGCUGUAAAAGGUGGCCUCUGACAUAAGCUGCCAUCUGGGGACGGGCCUGCGGCCCAUUAGCUAGUUGGUGAGGUAAUGGCUCACCAAGGCAGUGAUGGGUAGCUGGUCUGAGAGGAUGAUCAGCCACACUGGGACUGAAACACGGCCCAGACUCCUACGGGAGGCAGCAGUGGGGAAUUUUGCGCAAUGGGCGAAAGCCUGACGCAGCAACGCCGCGUGGGUGACGAAGGCCUUCGGGUCGUAAAGCCCUGUCAGGUGGGACGAAAAACCCAAGGCGAAUAGCCGAGGGGAAUGACGGUACUACCAAAGGAAGCACCGGCUAACUCCGUGCCAGCAGCCGCGGUAAUACGGAGGGUGCAAGCGUUGUUCGGAAUUACUGGGCGUAAAGGGCGUGUAGGCGGCCGAGCAAGUCGAGCGUGAAAGCUCCCGGCUCAACCGGGAAAGUGCGUUCGAGACUACGCGGCUUGAGUACUGGAGAGGGAGGUGGAAUUCCCGGUGUAGAGGUGAAAUUCGUAGAUAUCGGGAGGAACACCGGUGGCGAAGGCGGCCUCCUGGACAGAUACUGACGCUGAGACGCGAAAGCGUGGGUAGCAAACAGGAUUAGAUACCCUGGUAGUCCACGCCGUAAACGUUGGGUACUAGGUGUGGCGGGUGUUAACCCCUGCCGUGCCGAAGCUAACGCAUUAAGUGCCCCGCCUGGGGAGUACGGUCGCAAGGCUAAAACUCAAAGGAAUUGACGGGGACCCGCACAAGCGGAGGAGCAUGUGGUUUAAUUCGACGCAACGCGAAGAACCUUACCUGGGUUUGACAUCCCCGGACCUACUCGGAGACGAGGAUUUCCCUUCGGGGACCGGGUGACAGGUGCUGCAUGGCUGUCGUCAGCUCGUGUCGUGAGAUGUUGGGUUAAGUCCCGCAACGAGCGCAACCCUCGCCCUUAGUUGCCAGCGGUUCGGCCGGGCACUCUAAGGGGACUGCCCAGGUCAACUGGGAGGAAGGCGAGGAUGACGUCAAGUCCUCAUGGCCCUUACGCCCAGGGCUACACACGUGCUACAAUGGUCGGUACAGAGGGCUACGAACCCGCGAGGGGGAGCUAAUCUCAGAAAGCCGGCCUCAGUUCGGAUUGGAGUCUGCAACUCGACUCCAUGAAGUCGGAAUCGCUAGUAAUCGCGGAUCAGCAGGCCGCGGUGAAUACGUUCCCGGGCCUUGUACACACCGCCCGUCACACCACGGAAGUCGAUUGUACCAGAAGUCGCUGGACCAACCCGCAAGGGAGGUAGGCGCCGAAGGUAUGGUCGGUGACUGGGGCGAAGUCGUAACAAGGUA
This 1516-nucleotide ribosomal RNA is filed under the name metagenome. RNAcentral's name for it is "bacterial SSU rRNA". It matches the Rfam family "Bacterial small subunit ribosomal RNA". The record is from RNAcentral.